Salmo salar (Atlantic salmon) is the source of this 46-nucleotide non-coding RNA. The record is from Rfam. Lineage: Eukaryota; Metazoa; Chordata; Actinopteri; Salmoniformes; Salmonidae.
CCAAAGGCUCUUUUAAGAGUCAUUCAUAUUGCAAUAAGAAUAUUCU